CCUACGGGUGGCAGCAGUGAGGAAUAUUGGUCAAUGGCCGGAAGGCUGAACCAGCCAAGCCGCGUGAAGGACGAAGGUGCCGAGUAUCGUAAACCUCUUUUGUCAAGGGACAAAAACUGGCUCGAGAGCCCGACUGAGUGUACCUGAAGAAAAAGCAUCGGCUAACUCCGUGCCAGCAGCCGCGGUAAUACGGAGGAUGCGAGCGUUAUCCGGAUUUAUUGAGUUUAAAGGGUGCGUAGGCGGGCUGUUAAGUCAGCGGUAAAAGCCCGGGGCUCAACCCCGGCGAGCCGUUGAAACUGGCUGUCUUGAGAUGUCGAGAGGUAUGCGGAAUGCGCGGUGUAGCGGUGAAAUGCUUAGAUAUUGCGCAGAACUCCGAUUGCGAAGGCAGCAUGCCGGCGGCGAUCUGACGCUGAGGCACGAAAGCGUGGGUAUCGAACAGGAUUAGAUACCCGGGUAGUC
This 459-nucleotide ribosomal RNA is filed under the name uncultured bacterium. RNAcentral's name for it is "partial 16S ribosomal RNA". It matches the Rfam family "Bacterial small subunit ribosomal RNA", at positions 338 to 795 of the family's 1533-position model. The record is from RNAcentral.